RNAcentral lists this non-coding RNA (24 nucleotides) under Arabidopsis thaliana (thale cress). Lineage: Eukaryota; Viridiplantae; Streptophyta; Magnoliopsida; Brassicales; Brassicaceae. The record is from RNAcentral.
CAAAACAGUUACAAAAACGUUGCA